AGCCAGACAUUGUGCUUAGGCAGAAAACUAAAGAAAUAAAUAAGUCCUGGACCAUAAGAAGUUUACAUUCUCCUAGGAGGAAGAAAAGCAGCUAAUUAAAAUUUUUAAUUUAUUAUUUAAAUUUAAAUACAAAAUAAAAGUAAUUUUAUUUUCAAAGUCAUAGAAGUACUAACACUGAAGGGAAUCAAGGAAGACUUCAUGGAGGGGGAGGCAUCUCAGCUGAAUCUUAAAUGAAGUCAUAUUUUUCAGUAAUUCCACCAGAGGGUAUCUACCCUACCCACUAGAGACCUUCCCUUCAGCUGGUUCCUUUAACAUCUUGUGGAUGGCUCAUCAAUCCAGAACUUCAAGGACCUGGAACCUCUUUUUACAGAUAUAGGAACCAAUACUUGGAGAUGUUAAAUGGCCCACUUGAAGCCAUAAAAGGAAGUGAACUAUUUGGAGAAGGUCACAUGAAGAUACCUCCACAGACCACACAUUGCACCAGAAUAUCCAGAGUGAACUUUGGGAUGUGGUGAUUUCAACUGUGUGGGGUUGAAUGCAUUUGUUUUGUAUGUAUACGCUUAUGCUGAAGGGGACUGCC
RNAcentral lists this long non-coding RNA (580 nucleotides) under Monodelphis domestica (gray short-tailed opossum). RNAcentral describes it as "lncRNA (ENSMODG00000047558.1)". The record is from RNAcentral. Lineage: Eukaryota; Metazoa; Chordata; Mammalia; Didelphimorphia; Didelphidae.